Orussus abietinus is the source of this 143-nucleotide small nucleolar RNA. RefSeq annotates it as small nucleolar RNA SNORA57. NCBI's taxonomy places the organism in Eukaryota, Metazoa, Arthropoda, Insecta, Hymenoptera, Orussidae. The transcript has a single exon. The record is from RefSeq and is a predicted model, not a curated record.
CCUCUCAUUUUGGCAUGCCUGUGCCUAGAAUCUCGGCAGAGCAUAAAUGCUUGUGGGAGGUAGAUUAAAAAGAUCUGUGAACUAAUGCCUUCGGUGUCCACACACAUUAUGUCUGGAUUCCAUCCUCAAAGUUCACUACAAAA